Molecule: non-coding RNA, 636 nt
Organism: Peptococcaceae bacterium BRH_c4a
Lineage: Bacteria; Bacillati; Bacillota; Clostridia; Eubacteriales; Peptococcaceae
Source: Rfam
UAUAUGGAGAGUUUGAUCCUGGCUCAGGACGAACGCUGGCGGCGUGCUUAACACAUGCAAGUCGAACGGUUCCCGGAGUUCGGGGUUGGAUGUUUGGAGUUCGAAAAGAAGGAAAUGCAAAGGCAAAUCCAACAAGAAUCGAACGUCGAACGUCGAACCUCGAACUUCGAGAAUAGUGGCGGACGGGUGAGUAACGCGUGGAUAACCUGCCCAAGAGAUCGGGAUAACGCCGGGAAACUGGUGCUAAUACCGGAUACGUUCCUGAGGUUGCAUAAUUUCGGGAAGAAAGGAGAAAUCCGCUCAUGGAUGGAUCCGCGUCCCAUUAGCUAGUUGGUGGGGUAAAGGCCUACCAAGGCGACGAUGGGUAGCCGGCCUGAGAGGGUGGCCGGCCACACUGGGACUGAGACACGGCCCAGACUCCUACGGGAGGCAGCAGUGGGGAAUCUUCCGCAAUGGGCGAAAGCCUGACGGAGCAACGCCGCGUGAGUGACGAAGGCCCUUGGGUCGUAAAACUCUGUCUUCAGGGAAGAAAAAAAUGACGGUACCUGAGGAGGAAGCCCCGGCUAACUACGUGCCAGCAGCCGCGGUAAUACGUAGGGGGCGAGCGUUGUCCGGAAUUACUGGGCGUAAAGGGCG